AUGCAGGCAUCGAUGCCCUUCUCCGGCGACCUGACAGAGCGCAACCGCCAGUUGCUGCUAGAGCAGCAGAAUUCCUCUGCCAUAAAGAUCCAGAGAUGCUUUAGAGGGAAGAAGGCUAUACAAUCAAAACGUUCUGAAGCUCGAGAAAACUUCUGCUCUACUUUUGAAGGUUUCUUCCAGAAUUUAGAUAGGAAAAGCUAUGUUGCUUCGGAUUUUUUGGGUCAAUUCCUGUUAUUUUUUGAUGCAAAGGAGGACAAAGAUAUUGAUAUACUAUGUCAAGUCUGUGACCUGCUUCUACAAUAUGCCAAACGUGAUGGUAAGUAUGAUGCUAAGAAUAACAUUCUUGUGAUGUUUUAG
Molecule: ribosomal RNA, 357 nt
Filed under: Triticum aestivum (bread wheat)
Lineage: Eukaryota; Viridiplantae; Streptophyta; Magnoliopsida; Poales; Poaceae
Description: partial small subunit ribosomal RNA
Source: RNAcentral